GAACUUCUGCAUUCCUAAGGAGAUCUCAGGUAACCAACCCAGUGUUGCCAUGUCUCAGCCAGAAGGUGACUAGCAAUGAUCGAAGGACUUUCUCUUGAAAAGAGACCAUGCUCCUUCCUUAAGUUUUGCAGUAUUUGUAGAACGAUGGAGAAGGAAGCUGCCUUGCUCCUAACAAAGAGGCCUUAGUCUUGAUUAGGAAACAGAAGUGCUGCAGGUCCCCUCAAUUCCGGUAGCUGCCGGAACAAAUGCAUUUUCUCAGAGAGAAGAUGCAGAAGAAACUUUUACUCUGUGUUCUGAAGCUUUCACUGAAAUUAUGAAAAUAUGACAAGGGUUACAUGGAAAAUAGCGAAGUUUGGAUCCUUCAACUUAACAUUGAA
This 377-nucleotide long non-coding RNA is filed under the name Mus pahari (shrew mouse). Its description in RNAcentral is "lncRNA (MGP_PahariEiJ_G0005274.1)". Lineage: Eukaryota; Metazoa; Chordata; Mammalia; Rodentia; Muridae. The record is from RNAcentral.